Molecule: ribosomal RNA, 497 nt
Filed under: uncultured bacterium
Lineage: Bacteria
Description: partial 16S ribosomal RNA
Rfam family: Bacterial small subunit ribosomal RNA
Source: RNAcentral
GACGAACGCUGGCGGCGUGCCUAAUACAUGCAAGUUGAGCGCUGAAGGUUGGUACUUGUACCAACUGGAUGAGCAGCGAACGGGUGAGUAACGCGUGGGGAAUCUGCCUUUGAGCGGGGGACAACAUUUGGAAACGAAUGCUAAUACCGCAUAAAAACUUUAAACACAAGUUUUAAGUUUGAAAGAUGCAAUUGCAUCACUAAAAGAUGAUCCCGCGUUGUAUUAGCUAGUUGGUGAGGUAAAGGCUCACAAAGGCGAUGAUACAUAGCCGACCUGAGAGGGUGAUCGGCCACAUUGGGACUGAGACACGGCCCAAACUCCUACGGGAGGCAGCAGUAGGGAAUCUUCGGCAAUGGACGAAAGUCUGACCGAGCAACGCCGCGUGAGUGAAGAAGGUUUUCGGAUCGUAAAACUCUGUUGGUAGAGAAGAACGUUGGUGAGAGUGGAAAGCUCAUCAAGUGACGGUAACUACCCAGAAAGGGACGGCUAACUACGUG